This is a non-coding RNA of Pelobates cultripes (western spadefoot toad), 406 nucleotides long. NCBI's taxonomy places the organism in Eukaryota, Metazoa, Chordata, Amphibia, Anura, Pelobatidae. The record is from the annotation of a GenBank genome assembly.
CUUAGAAUCUGCCCAAUUAAAUAUUACAGAAGAAGAAUGUUACAGAGUUCUAGUAUUACAGUUACAAUACAUUCACAACACGCAUACAUUCCAUCUAUCUAAUACUAUCUGCUACAUUGUGUAUAAUAAUAUUGGCUACAUUGUGUAUGUGCUGUGCAUGUUAUGUGCAGCUUGUGUGUCUUACCAAACCUAAUCUAAUGUGAUGUCAGUAUCUUCUAUUUUUAAAGGAAUUGGUUCCCAUGUUGUAAAUAGCCAAUUCCUCAGCUCAAUUUGACAUGGAAAUGUGAUUUCCUUUCCCAAGGCCCAAAGUGUUGUCUAUCCUGUUAUUUUAUUUAAGUGUUAACUUUCCCAGCCAUCCCUUUGUCUCUAACCCAAUGUGUGUUUUCCUAUAUAGGGACUCCUUUGA